This 287-nucleotide long non-coding RNA is filed under the name Manihot esculenta (cassava). Its description in RNAcentral is "long non-coding RNA (MESC_LNC003368)". The record is from RNAcentral. Lineage: Eukaryota; Viridiplantae; Streptophyta; Magnoliopsida; Malpighiales; Euphorbiaceae.
CUAUCUCAUCUGUAAUUGUUUUGACCCUCUCAAGGUACACAAACGGGUCAUCUCCGGUUUCAAACUGGGGAGCACCCAGCUUCAUGUAGUCGGUCAUCUUGACCUUGCUCCCACCAGAUGAGCUAGGCUUAGGCAUAUGGGUUGCUGGAACUGUGGGUUCUGUUGAUGGUGGAGGAGGUGCAACAUUUUCUGAGGUAGGGUUUGCUGGAUUUGGAUAGUAAGGUGGGGGUGGAUACAUUGGGUAUUGUGAAUAUGGUGGGUAGUAGGGUGGGUAUGGCAUCUGUGUG